GAUGAACGCUGGCGGCGUGCCUAAUACAUGCAAGUCGAGCGAACAGACGAGGAGCUUGCUCCUCUGACGUUAGCGGCGGACGGGUGAGUAACACGUGGAUAACCUACCUAUAAGACUGGGAUAACUUCGGGAAACCGGAGCUAAUACCGGAUAAUAUAUUGAACCGCAUGGUUCAAUAGUGAAAGACGGUUUGCUGUCACUUUUAGAUGGAUCCGCGCCGCAUUAGCUAGUUGGUAAGGUAACGGCUUACCAAGGCGACGAUGCGUAGCCGACCUGAGAGGGUGAUCGGCCACACUGGAACUGAGACACGGUCCAGACUCCUACGGGAGGCAGCAGUAGGGAAUCUUCCGCAAUGGGCGAAAGCCUGACGGAGCAACGCCGCGUGAGUGAUGAAGGUCUUCGGAUCGUAAAACUCUGUUAUUAGGGAAGAACAAAUGUGUAAGUAACUAUGCACGUCUUGACGGUACCUAAUCAGAAAGCCACGGCUAACUACGUG
Molecule: ribosomal RNA, 496 nt
Filed under: uncultured bacterium
Lineage: Bacteria
Description: partial 16S ribosomal RNA
Rfam family: Bacterial small subunit ribosomal RNA
Source: RNAcentral